GGGGGGAGUAUGGUCGCAAGGUUGAAACUUAAAGGAAUUGACGGAAGGGCACCACCAGGCGUGGAGCUGCGGCUCAAUUUGACUCAACACGGGAAAACUUACCAGGUCCAGACGUAGGAAGGAUUGACAGAUUGAUAGCUCUUUCUUGAUUCUUAUGGGUGGUGGUGCAUGGCCGUUCUUAGUUGGUGGGUUGCCUUGUCAGGUUGAUUCCGGUAACGAACGAGACCUCAGCUGCUAAAUAGUCACGGCUGCAUCCGCAGCUGGCAAACUUCUUAGAGGGACUGUUGGCGACUAGCCAACGGAAGUAUGAGGCAAUAACAGGUCUGUGAUGCCCUUAGAUGUUCUGGGCCGCACGCGCGCUACACUGAUACGUUCAACAAGUUCCUUGGCUCGAAAGGUCUGGGUAAUCUUUGAAACCGUAUCGUGAUGGGGAUAGAACAUUGCAACUAUUGUUCUUCAACGAGGAAUGCUAGUAAUCGCGAGUCAUCAUCUCGCGUUGAUUACGUCCCUGCCCUUUGUACACACCGCCCGUCGCUCCUACCGAUUGGAUGUGCUGGUGAAGACUUCGGAUCGGCCACGCUAACUAGGUCUUCCUAGUUGUGGGGUUGAGAAGUNGUUUAAACCCUCCCAUUUAGAGGAAGGAGAAGUCGUAACAAGGUUUCCGUAGGUGAACCUGCGGAAGGAUCAAAGGGCGAAUUC
RNAcentral lists this ribosomal RNA (699 nucleotides) under uncultured eukaryote. Its description in RNAcentral is "SSU rRNA". It matches the Rfam family "Eukaryotic small subunit ribosomal RNA", at positions 1116 to 1831 of the family's 1831-position model. The record is from RNAcentral.